RNAcentral lists this ribosomal RNA (253 nucleotides) under uncultured bacterium. Its description in RNAcentral is "partial 16S ribosomal RNA". It matches the Rfam family "Bacterial small subunit ribosomal RNA", at positions 524 to 776 of the family's 1533-position model. The record is from RNAcentral.
UACGUAGGGAGCAAGCGUUGUCCGGAAUCAUUGGGCGUAAAGCGCGCGUAGGUGGCCUCAUAAGUCCGCUGUGAAAGUCAAAGGCUCAACCUUUGAAAGCCGGUGGAUACUGUGAGGCUAGAGUACGGAAGAGGCGAGUGGAAUUCCUGGUGUAGCGGUGGAAUGCGCAGAUAUCAGGAGGAACACCUAUUGCGAAGGCAGCUCGCUGGGACGUUACUGACGCUGAGACGCGAAAGCGUGGGGAGCAAACAGG